AGUCAUAGAGUCUGUUUUAGGAGUUUUUGUUGUAUUUAUGAAUUUCAAAUUAUAGUUGGACUACAUGCGAGGGGUUCGAUAUUUUGGUGAUGACAUUGAACUUUGUUUUUCUUUAAGAUGUAAUUUUUUAGUUGUUGUGAGUUUUGUCACGAAAUUGCCAAAGGGGGAGAUAGUUAAGUCUUGUGUGUUGGCAAGUUUCGUAGAUUGAGUCGGAGUCUUGAAGGAUCGGUGCGUAAUGUCGAAGAUCAAAGAAUCCA
RNAcentral lists this long non-coding RNA (257 nucleotides) under Ananas comosus (pineapple). Its description in RNAcentral is "long non-coding RNA (ACOM_LNC019634)". The record is from RNAcentral. Lineage: Eukaryota; Viridiplantae; Streptophyta; Magnoliopsida; Poales; Bromeliaceae.